AUAAUCCUGUAGUCGAAAAUGUUGUCUCUCUUGAGUGGAUCCUGAGUACGACGGAGCACGUGAAAUUCCGUCGGAAUCUGGGAGGACCAUCUCCUAAGGCUAAAUACUCUCUAGUGACCGAUAGUGAACCAGUACCGUGAGGGAAAGGUGAAAAGCACCCCGGAAGGGGAGUGAAAUAGAACCUGAAACCGUGUGCUUACAAGUAGUCAGAGCCCGUUAAUGGGUGAUGGCGUGCCUUUUGUAGAAUGAACCGGCGAGUUACGAUUUGAUGCAAGGUUAAGCAGUAAAUGUGGAGCCGUAGCGAAAGCGAGUCUGAAUAGGGCGUUUAGUAUUUGGUCGUAGACCCGAAACCAGGUGAUCUACCCUUGGUCAGGUUGAAGUUCAGGUAACACUGAAUGGAGGACCGAACCGACUUACGUUGAAAAGUGAGCGGAUGAACUGAGGGUAGCGGAGAAAUUCCAAUCGAACCUGGAGAUAGCUGGUUCUCUCCGAAAUAGCUUUAGGGCUAGCCUCAAGUGAUGAUUAUUGGAGGUAGAGCACUGUUUGGACGAGGGGCCCCUCUCGGGUUACCGAAUUCAGACAAACUCCGAAUGCCAAUUAAUUUAACUUGGGAGUCAGAACAUGGGUGAUAAGGUCCGUGUUCGAAAGGGAAACAGCCCAGACCACCAGCUAAGGUCCCAAAAUAUAUGUUAAGUGGAAAAGGAUGUGGCGUUGCCCAGACAACUAGGAUGUUGGCUUAGAAGCAGCCAUCAUUUAAAGAGUGCGUAAUAGCUCACUAGUCGAGUGACACUGCGCCGAAAAUGUACCGGGGCUAAACAUAUUACCGAAGCUGUGGAUUGUCCUUUGGACAAUGGUAGGAGAGCGUUCUAAGGGCGUUGAAGCAUGAUCGUAAGGACAUGUGGAGCGCUUAGAAGUGAGAAUGCCGGUGUGAGUAGCGAAAGACGGGUGAGAAUCCCGUCCACCGAUUGACUAAGGUUUCCAGAGGAAGGCUCGUCCGCUCUGGGUUAGUCGGGUCCUAAGCUGAGGCCGACAGGCGUAGGCGAUGGAUAACAGGUUGAUAUUCCUGUACCACCUAUAAUCGUUUUAAUCGAUGGGGGGACGCAGUAGGAUAGGCGAAGCGUGCGAUUGGAUUGCACGUCUAAGCAGUAAGGCUGAGUAUUAGGCAAAUCCGGUACUCAUUAAGGCUGAGCUGUGAUGGGGAGAAGACAUUGUGUCUUCGAGUCGUUGAUUUCACACUGCCGAGAAAAGCCUCUAGAUAGAAAAUAGGUGCCCGUACCGCAAACCGACACAGGUAGUCAAGAUGAGAAUUCUAAGGUGAGCGAGCGAACUCUCGUUAAGGAACUCGGCAAAAUGACCCCGUAACUUCGGGAGAAGGGGUGCUCUUUAGGGUUAACGCCCAGAAGAGCCGCAGUGAAUAGGCCCAAGCGACUGUUUAUCAAAAACACAGGUCUCUGCUAAACCGUAAGGUGAUGUAUAGGGGCUGACGCCUGCCCGGUGCUGGAAGGUUAAGAGGAGUGGUUAGCUUCUGCGAAGCUACGAAUCGAAGCCCCAGUAAACGGCGGCCGUAACUAUAACGGUCCUAAGGUAGCGAAAUUCCUUGUCGGGUAAGUUCCGACCCGCACGAAAGGCGUAACGAUUUGGGCACUGUCUCAACGAGAGACUCGGUGAAAUCAUAGUACCUGUGAAGAUGCAGGUUACCCGCGACAGGACGGAAAGACCCCGUGGAGCUUUACUGUAGCCUGAUAUUGAAAUUCGGCACAGCUUGUACAGGAUAGGUAGGAGCCUUUGAAACGUGAGCGCUAGCUUACGUGGAGGCGCUGGUGGGAUACUACCCUAGCUGUGUUGGCUUUCUAACCCGCACCACUUAUCGUGGUGGGAGACAGUGUCAGGCGGGCAGUUUGACUGGGGCGGUCGCCUCCUAAAAGGUAACGGAGGCGCUCAAAGGUUCCCUCAGAAUGGUUGGAAAUCAUUCAUAGAGUGUAAAGGCAUAAGGGAGCUUGACUGCGAGACCUACAAGUCGAGCAGGGUCGAAAGACGGACUUAGUGAUCCGGUGGUUCCGCAUGGAAGGGCCAUCGCUCAACGGAUAAAAGCUACCCCGGGGAUAACAGGCUUAUCUCCCCCAAGAGUUCACAUCGACGGGGAGGUUUGGCACCUCGAUGUCGGCUCAUCGCAUCCUGGGGCUGUAGUCGGUCCCAAGGGUUGGGCUGUUCGCCCAUUAAAGCGGUACGCGAGCUGGGUUCAGAACGUCGUGAGACAGUUCGGUCCCUAUCCGUCGUGGGCGUAGGAAAUUUGAGAGGAGCUGUCCUUAGUACGAGAGGACCGGGAUGGACAUACCUCUGGUGUACCAGUUGUCGUGCCAACGGCAUAGCUGGGUAGCUAUGUGUGGACGGGAUAAGUGCUGAAAGCAUCUAAGCAUGAAGCCCCCCUCAAGAUGAGAUUUCCCAACUUCGGUUAUAAGAUCCCUCAAAGAUGAUGAGGUUAAUAGGUUCGAGGUGGAAGCAUGGUGACAUGUGGAGCUGACGAAUACUAAUCGAUCGAAGACUUAAUCAA
RNAcentral lists this ribosomal RNA (2551 nucleotides) under Staphylococcus aureus. RNAcentral's name for it is "partial 23S ribosomal RNA". It matches the Rfam family "Bacterial large subunit ribosomal RNA", at positions 367 to 2925 of the family's 2925-position model. Lineage: Bacteria; Bacillati; Bacillota; Bacilli; Caryophanales; Staphylococcaceae. The record is from RNAcentral.